UACGUAGGGGGCAAGCGUUGUCCGGAAUUAUUGGGCGUAAAGCGCGCGCAGGCGGUUAUUUAAGUUGGGUGUUUAAUCCCGGGGCUCAACCUCGGGUCGCACCCAAAACUGGGUAACUUGAGUACAGAAGAGGAAAGUGGAAUUCCACGUGUAGCGGUGAAAUGCGCAGAUAUCAGGAGGAACACCGGUGGCGAAGGCGGGUCUCUGGGCCGAUACUGACGCUGAGGAGCGAAAGCGUGGGGAGCGAACAGG
RNAcentral lists this ribosomal RNA (252 nucleotides) under uncultured bacterium. Its description in RNAcentral is "partial 16S ribosomal RNA". It matches the Rfam family "Bacterial small subunit ribosomal RNA", at positions 524 to 776 of the family's 1533-position model. The record is from RNAcentral.